GACGAACGCUGGCGGCGUGCCUAAUACAUGCAAGUUAGCGCUGAAGGUUGGUACUUGUACCAACUGGAUGAGCAGCGAACGGGUGAGUAACGCGUGGGGAAUCUGCCUUUGAGCGGGGGACAACAUUUGGAAACGAAUGCUAAUACCGCAUAAAAACUUUAAACACAAGUUUUAAGUUUGAAAGAUGCAAUUGCAUCACUCAAAGAUGAUCCCGCGUUGUAUUAGCUAGUUGGUGAGGUAAAGGCUCACCAAGGCGAUGAUACAUAGCCGACCUGAGAGGGUGAUCGGCCACAUUGGGACUGAGACACGGCCCAAACUCCUACGGGAGGCAGCAGUAGGGAAUCUUCGGCAAUGGACGAAAGUCUGACCGAGCAACGCCGCGUGAGUGAAGAAGGUUUUCGGAUCGUAAAACUCUGUUGGUAGAGAAGAACGUUGGUGAGAGUGGAAAGCUCAUCAAGUGACGGUAACUACCCAGAAAGGGACGGCUAACUACGUG
This 496-nucleotide ribosomal RNA is filed under the name uncultured bacterium. RNAcentral's name for it is "partial 16S ribosomal RNA". It matches the Rfam family "Bacterial small subunit ribosomal RNA", at positions 28 to 507 of the family's 1533-position model. The record is from RNAcentral.